GGGGAUGUGGCUCAAACAGUAGAGUGCUUGCCUGGCAUGCAUGUGGCCUGGGUUCGAUCCUCAGCACCACA
RNAcentral lists this transfer RNA (71 nucleotides) under Marmota monax (woodchuck). RNAcentral's name for it is "tRNA.Ala". It matches the Rfam family "tRNA". From Rfam's summary of the family: Transfer RNA (tRNA) molecules are approximately 80 nucleotides in length. Their secondary structure includes four short double-helical elements and three loops (D, anti-codon, and T loops). Further hydrogen bonds mediate the characteristic L-shaped molecular structure. tRNAs have two regions of fundamental functional importance: the anti-codon, which is responsible for specific mRNA codon recognition, and the 3' end, to which the tRNAs corresponding amino acid is attached (by aminoacyl-tRNA synthetases). tRNAs cope with the degeneracy of the genetic code in two manners: having more than one tRNA (with a specific anti-codon) for a particular amino acid; and 'wobble' base-pairing, i.e. permitting non-standard base-pairing at the 3rd anti-codon position. The record is from RNAcentral. Lineage: Eukaryota; Metazoa; Chordata; Mammalia; Rodentia; Sciuridae.